This 67-nucleotide transfer RNA is filed under the name Sibylla pretiosa. RNAcentral's name for it is "tRNA-Leu". The record is from RNAcentral. Lineage: Eukaryota; Metazoa; Arthropoda; Insecta; Mantodea; Hymenopodidae.
ACUAUUUUGGCAGAAGAGAGUGUAAUAGAUUUAGAAUCUAGUAAUAUGAUGAUAAUCAUAAGUAGUA